This 1346-nucleotide ribosomal RNA is filed under the name uncultured bacterium. RNAcentral describes it as "bacterial SSU rRNA". It matches the Rfam family "Bacterial small subunit ribosomal RNA", at positions 28 to 1381 of the family's 1533-position model. The record is from RNAcentral.
GACGAACGCUGGCGGCGUGCUUAACACAUGCAAGUCGAACGGAAAGGCCCUGCUUUUGUGGGGUGCUCGAGUGGCGAACGGGUGAGUAACACGUGAGUAACCUGCCCUUGACUUUGGGAUAACUUCAGGAAACUGGGGCUAAUACCGGAUAGGAGCUCCUGCUGCAUGGUGGGGGUUGGAAAGUUUCGGCGGUUGGGGAUGGACUCGCGGCUUAUCAGCUUGUUGGUGGGGUAGUGGCUUACCAAGGCUUUGACGGGUAGCCGGCCUGAGAGGGUGACCGGCCACAUUGGGACUGAGAUACGGCCCAGACUCCUACGGGAGGCAGCAGUGGGGAAUAUUGCACAAUGGGCGGAAGCCUGAUGCAGCAACGCCGCGUGCGGGAUGACGGCCUUCGGGUUGUAAACCGCCUUCGCCUGUGACGAAGCGUGAGUGACGGUAAUGGGUAAAGAAGCACCGGCUAACUACGUGCCAGCAGCCGCGGUGAUACGUAGGGUGCGAGCGUUGUCCGGAUUUAUUGGGCGUAAAGGGCUCGUAGGUGGUUGAUCGCGUCGGAAGUGUAAUCUUGGGGCUUAACCCUGAGCGUGCUUUCGAUACGGGUUGACUUGAGGAAGGUAGGGGAGAAUGGAAUUCCUGGUGGAGCGGUGGAAUGCGCAGAUAUCAGGAGGAACACCAGUGGCGAAGGCGGUUCUCUGGGCCUUUCCUGACGCUGAGGAGCGAAAGCGUGGGGAGCGAACAGGCUUAGAUACCCUGGUAGUCCACGCUGUAAACGGUGGGUACUAGGUGUGGGGUCCAUUCCACGGGUUCCGUGCCGUAGCUAGCGCUUUAAGUACCCCGCCUGGGGAGUACGGCCGCAAGGCUAAAACUCAAAGGAAUUGACGGGGCCCUGCACAAGCGGCGGAGCAUGCGGAUUAAUUCGAUGCAACGCGUAGAACCUUACCUGGGUUUGACAUGGAUCGGGAGCGCUCAGAGAUGGGUGUGCCUCUUUUGGGGUCGGUUCACAGGUGGUGCAUGGCUGUCGUCAGCUCGUGCCGUGAGAUGUUGGGUUAAGUCCCGCAACGAGCGCAACCCUUGUUCACUGUUGCCAGCACGUUAUGGUGGGGACUCAGUGGAGACCGCCGGGGUCAACUCGGAGGAAGGUGGGGAUGACGUCAAGUCAUCAUGCCCCUUAUGUCCAGGGCUUCACGCAUGCUACAAUGGCUGGUACAGAGAGUGGCGAGCCUGUGAGGGUGAGCGAAUCUCGGAAAGCCGGUCUCAGUUCGGAUUGGGGUCUGCAACUCGACCUCAUGAAGUCGGAGUCGCUAGUAAUCGCAAAUCAGCAACGCUGCGGUGAAUACGUUCCCGGGGCC